Molecule: long non-coding RNA, 16205 nt
Organism: Cavia porcellus (domestic guinea pig)
Lineage: Eukaryota; Metazoa; Chordata; Mammalia; Rodentia; Caviidae
Exons: 3
Source: RefSeq, a predicted model, not a curated record
UAUAGAGGUAAGUUGUUCCUCUUUCUUAUUUAAUUUAUUAAACAAUGAAUCUGCAUUCCAAUAUUUGAUUCAUAACAAUUAUUCAAAAUGUAUUUGUAAAGGGAAAUAAAAAACCCCAAAGCUUUCUGUAAAAAUGUUUUCAAUAGCUAUUUGCCCCCUGGCUAUAUAGAAUAAUCGUUAAGUUUAAGAUUAUAUUGUAUUUAAUUUAUUUUUAUUAUCGCUCAUAUUUUGGUUCUGUGCUUUCAAUGAAUAUUCAUUACAAUAUCAUCUGGAAUGAAGUGAAGACAGAUCUUCCACUGUUAACGUAUUAUAUAUAUACUCGAAAAUUGUUUUUUUUUUUUUUAAAGUGUAAGGAGAAAACUCUGCUGUAUUUUUUUCAUUAAAGACAUUUUACAUUAUUAAUCGUUUAAUAAAACUUUUCAGUAUUUUUCACAGUAAUCAUUGUGGGAGCACAGAAAUGAAGUUAUAAUCUCUGACUUCAAAAACAUAAUAGCUCCAUGAAAAGAUGAUACAUUUAAAGCACUCAUACAAACAAGCCAAACAAUACAAGAAGAAAUGAGAGAUUAGCCACAUCCUGUAUAUGAAUCAAGAAAGUCGUGAUACUUUCACAAGCAUGCGAUUAAGUAUGGAACACAAAAUUGGUAUAUAAUUGCUGACAGAAUCAAAUAAUUACCUAUACAAUGAUAACCAAGUGAUAGCAUUUCUAUAAAAAUGUCAAAACAUACUAAAUUAAGCACUCUAAUAUUGAUAUAAAGCAAAAUUUCCAUUUUCCCUAAUUUACAAAUAAUGCUCAUUUAUACAACCUUUUAUUCCCUGAAUGGCAAAAAUAGACUAGUUUUAGUAUCAAGGAAGAGGAAACAUUCAAAAAAAUUAUUUGGUUGUCAGUUUUCUUAGACAAUUCCAAAAAUGCCACAUGCCUACACAAUGAUUAAUACUCCAGUUACCCAUGCUACCUCGGCCUUUGAGGUGACGAUGUUGUAAACACGACAGAUGGUGGACUGAGCACGUGCAAGUAGUGAGGUGGCCAGGGUGCCAAGCACAGUUACGGCAGAGCUUUCCAGGUGGACGGUGCUUACAUGGACAUGGUCUCCCUGGGCUCCCUCAGCAGGUCCCUGACUCUCCCUGUCGGAUCAGCACUCCACUCAGUGUAACCCCGUACAGCUGUCAGCCUCCAGAAGGGAUCGGAUGAAUUUCCAUACUAGGUGAUCUUUCUUAUAUCACAGAAAAAUGUGCAUUCAUUGAAUGGAAUCCCUGUUUAAUAAGAGAAAAAAUGCAUUUAAGAAUAUCUGACUCCUGUACUCAAGGGUAUAGGACUUGCCAAAAAUAGGAGUUAAAACACAUAUUCUAUUGUGUUUCAUCCCCAGAUAAUCUAACAUAAUAGUAGUUACCAUAGUUCCUCCUUUCUUCAAUUAUUUGAGUAUAACUUCAUAUACUAUAGCAUCAAGCAUAUCAAGUCAAACACAAUGAUGCUUAAAUAGUUUGGUUUUGACCUGUGUUGUUCUAAUACAAUGUCCUCUUUUACCUCAAUCCCAUCCUUUUUUAAUCUAUUUUUUCUUACUUUUUUUUUUUCAAUUAAGGGAAAACUAAAUUAAAAAAUAGUGGGACAUGUUAUAGUAACUUUUUGUUUUCCUAUUAACCUGAUUUUACCCCAGUAUUGCUCUCCCCAUUUUGUUCUGUCUGAUGAUUCUAUAUUCUGUUUUGUUUGAUAGUAUCAAGUUUGAGGGUAUAGGCAACCACUUUGAAGGCAAUAAGAUAUAGUACUAUGACGCCCAUUAUGGUUUGACUAUUAUCUGUUUUUGAAAUCCUGUAAGGUCUCCAGUGUAGGUUUUAUUGGUCUUGUUCUGUACUGUUUUGAUCAAUUCUAUUAUACCUGACGAUAUAGGCAACUUUUUAAAAAAAUAGCAAGAGGCACAAUGGUAACCAUUUUAGAUCACCUGAUAUUCGAUUUUUACAUCGUGUACUAUGCCCAUCGUUUUGUUCUAACUGACUCUGUUUUGUUUAGCCACUUUAGGUUUUAUUCUCUCCAAAAAAUAAUAAUAAUUGUGGGAGUAAAAAACCCAAAAAGUGUAACUGUUAUUAAAAAGAGAGGAAAGGAAGAUGGUCAAAGGGAUAUAACUGCAUGUAUGUUUGAGUGUGUAGGAUGGAAAUCCAUAUUACUGAACUUUUGUUGGAUCAUUGAUCAGCAUUGUGUGCAAUCUCAUUGUAUGAAUGUUCACUUUACAUGCUUUAAUUUUAUAAUUUGGACAACUAUUUCAAAGAUGACAAUAUGUAAUCUAUUAACUAGUGAUAUCUUACUGUAUUUUUUUCCUUGAAAUUCUGUAUUAUUUGUACCCUUUUACUGCUUUUUAAAAUUUUAUUUCCUUUCUUUUUUUCUCUAUAAAUAAUUAUAAAAAACACAUAUUUUAGGCAUUUGAUAUGAAAAACAUGAUACUUCUGCAUUGUUAGAAUCAUCUGUGCUAACAUUGUUAUCACUAUCUGUUUGCUUGCAUGAAUUAAAGGAAAAUGAGAAAGAUAUACAAGUUUAAAGAUAUUCGAUUGUUUAUAUUUGAAAAAUGAAGCUCAGCUAUUUAUUUUUUAAUUUUAAUUUUUUAAAAAAUUUUUGGCACCAGGAAUCGAUUAUUAUUCAUUUUUAAAUAAUCAUUCUCUUUAACCUAGCUAGAAGGGAUAGGGUAAAUAGGGCCACAGUAAGUGUAAAGACUUAAAUUCAGUGCUUAGCCAUUGUAAGUUAGGUCUGAGAUGUUGGCUUAGAAAUAGUCAAAUUCUUAGUGUGUAACUUUGAAAUGGAGGGGACAAUAGACCUGUAAAUAUUCCUCAGCAAAAUAGGAAAUGCCACUCUAAGUAGGACACUCUGCUGAUUAAGCUUAAGCAAAUGUGUAUUUAUAUUUCUAAAAGGAGGCUUGCUGUAUCCAGUAAAUAAACGUGGUUACUCGUAAACAGUGAACAUGUGACAAAUCUUAGUGGAGGGACUGUUACUCUAAGUGUCCUCAGAGUUCAUGUCCUUUCCAGAUCCUUUGUAAUUGCUAAAAAUAAGACUAAAAUUUGAAAAUAUAAUUAUCCCUCAUCAUGAAUAGUUAUAAACUCUUUCCUGCAGGGUAAUUCCUUAGAAUAGAGUUACUUUGAAGGACCAGCGUUAUAAUAGAGAAAUUGAGUUGCAGUUGCCUGACAUAAUUCUUUUAAAUCCCUAUAAAUACCUUUUACUCUUUUUACUUUUAAAUAGCAAUGAUUAUGUUUUAUUUUCCUCUUGUUCUAUUCCAUUAUAAGAAAGCCAAACUGGCUGUGUGUGUGCGUGCAUGUGUGUUUAAUAUAAACAGUAAUUAGACUCUGACUGGGCAGCAGAGAGGUUAAGUGUUCAGUCUGUACUAUUUUAAGACAAGAGAACAACUGCUUUCUCCGUGUUGACAUUUUCAGAAAUCCCAGCUAGUCUGAAGAGGAUUUCUAAUCCAGAAUAAACCUGCCUGUGAUGGAAAGCUGUGGCCCUGGCUUCCUAUGGACAGAGCAGCCCCUUCUGGGUGGGGGUCUCCCCUGCACCGCAAGGACCAUGAAGAGCACUGUCGUCACCACCGUCCACUGCAGCCCUUUCCUCCGAGGUUGGCCCAUUCGGUGUCUCUCUCUUGUGUCAGUCAGUUUUCCCCCACUGCACCAGAACACUUAAGAAAAUGGUCUGAAAGGAAGAAAGGCUUAUUUGGGCUCCUGGCUCAGCCCGUGGUCAGCUACUCUCUCAUUUCUGGAAGUGUGCUGAGCCAGAACAUCAUGGCAGAGCAAAGCCACUCGGCUGAUAGUGGCCAGAGGCAGAAUGAGAGAGGAAUGCAGCAGCGAGGAGGAGAAGAGCAGGAGCGGGGGACAUGGCAUAGGCCACACUCACCCCCCCAGGCCACCUCACGGGUCUCCAUAAUCUCAGAUGGCAUUAAAUGUGACCUCGUCAGUGGAUUCCUCCUUCAUGAUCAAAUCGCUUUCCAAAAGCCCACCUCUGAACACUGUGACAGUGGUAAUCAAGCCUCAUACAUAUUAACCUUUUGGGGGUGACAGUCCAGAUGCUGAUCAUAGCACCUUCAUACCUGAGAUGGCUUUGCUAGAGGACCUAAGAAUAAAUUAACCUACAAAAUAUGUGUGGAGUAACUAUUAUGGUUAAUAUAUACUAUUUUAUGUAUGUCUAUUUAUCUCAUAGUUCAAAAUAUUAAUAUUUUCUGACUAAAAUUAAUGUAGGUUUUGAAACAGUAAGAAAUAUCAAUUGCAGGUAUCUUAUUUAAUACCAUGUAUCAAUGAGUGAAGCAGUACAUUUUAAAUAAAACAAUCAGCUUUUGUGUUAGGCUGGAUUCAAAUCCCACACCACCCUCUUGUUCUCUAUGGCAAACUGAAAAUUUAGUGUAAGCCUUCAAAGUUUCAUUUUAUUCAUUUGUGAAGGUAUCAUAAUUAAUUUAAAUAUCCUUAGUAAGGCAUUCAUAUAUCCCCUUAGAAAUGCUGAGCUUGCUUACAUUUAUAUGUGUCUUAAAUUUGUCAAGCACAAAUGGAAUACACUACUGGAUUAUGAGGUCAUUUGUUUAACAUCCAUUUGUAACAUUAGUAUAGAGGAAAUCGUUCUCUGUAUAUAAGAUAAUUAAAACAUUAAAAUAACUUAUGCUAGUCAAAACUUUAUAAUCAAUAAUAAUUAACAUAGAAUAAAGCAAAAUAAUAUAAAAGUAGUUUAGAUAUCUCUAAACUGUUAAAGGAAUAACUGAGAGAGGACUAGAAAAACAUUUUUAAAAAUUGAUUUGCUGCUAUCCAAUGAAUUCCUUAAGAUUUUUUCUUCAAAGAAUUGGACAGUAAUAUUUUCUUUUAAUACCAAUUUUUCUCAACUAGUGGUGUACAACAUGGUAUCUGAAGCCACUAUGCAAACAACCUGCUAUGAUUGUGUGUGUGUGUGUGCAUGCAGGUGUAUGUGAUGAGUGUGGGUCUUCCAUUGAAGCUAUUCAAAGCAAUAGCACAAAUAUGAGUGUGUAGAUAGAUUUUUUAAUAUUAUUUUUCUCAACCAAAUGAAAAGUUCCACUCAAAAAAAUCAGUUAUGCACCUAAACAUUUUGGAAAAAAAAAAAGAUGGUAAAAAGUCAAAAAGAAAAUAUAAACAUAGAGAGAAGGCAUUAAAAACCUCAGACAAAAUAAUACCACUGGUAAGAAUCAUGUUCCCUAGUCUUUGUUCCUUAACUUUAUCAUAAUGUUUUAAAGUAUAUGAAUCAUUACUGUAGCGAUAAAAUAUUCUAGGCUUGUAACUAUUUUAAAAUUUUAAGGAUAAGACAAUCAGAAAAAGUGUGAGUGGACCAUAGUGGUGCAACUAUUGGAUUUGUUAACGAGAAUAAUAGUUUUAUUCAUUCCACAAAUGAUUAUUGAAUGCCAAUCACCAGCCAAGUAUUGUUCCAGUCAUUUUAGGAUGUAACCGUGACAACAGGUAGAUAUGACCUCUAUUUUUCAAGGAAUCCAAAUUUAUUUUCUUUGAUGUAAGCACCAUUUAAAUUUAGAUAAUUCAAAGAGGGAAAUUAAAUCUUGAACAUAAUAGCUCACUAGCAAGAAAAAUACAUUAAUUUAAAAUUCUGUUUCUGGACAAUUUAACAAAAUAAAAUGUUUAGACAGCAUUUAAUUGUGGUUCUUCUGACUUACAUCCAACAAUAUGGCACUGGAAAGAGACAGAAGCCCUGUUGUGUAUUGUGUUUGUGAUAUAAUCCUUUAGAAUUGUGUAAGGCCCUGUUAAUUGUGAUUACCUAUAAUCACAUACAAAAAUACCUUAUUUUCAUCAGAGUUUCUUUUUUCUCAGGAAAGACUUUCAUAUGUACAUGUGUUAGUCACUUUCCUCUUAGUUGGGACAACUUGCCUGACCUCUGUAACUUAAAGGACAGGUGUUAUAGCUCAGAGUUUUAGAAGACUCAGUCCUCCUUUAGCUUAAACACAGAAGCUGCAUGGUAGAAGGGUCUGGAUUCAGGGAAGGUGCCCACAUCAUGGCUGCCAGGAACAGGAGAGAGAAAGGAAGAGCCCUGAUGGAGAUAAGCUCCUCCGGGUCAUGCCCCAGUGACCUGCUGCUCUAGCCAGUCCCUGCCUCCCAACAGCAAGUCGGCUACAUUACCCCAGGAUACAACUACCUUCCAAAAGCCCCGCCUAUGAGCACUGGAAGUCUUUGGAUGGCACUUUCGAUCUGCACCACAACAGUAUCUUUAUCUCAAUUUUCUGUAAGUUGGUACAUUAUGGGUUUUUCAAAUUGUGUCAGAAAAAUUAGAAAACAAUUUACCCCAGAUCUCAAAUCAUCAUAAUAAGAAAAGCUAUUUGUUAAAUGUAGACCUCAUUACUUUCCACCUAGAAUAAUCAUAAAAAUGGCUGUUUUGUUGCCUUUUCUGGUAUUCAGAAUAUGUAAAAAUUCAAAGAUACUGUCAUUUACUUAGCAAGCAACAAUAUUUCAAAUAAUCAAAAUAUGGGAUUUAAAUAAUGAACCUUAAAAAGAAAUCCCUAAACAAGAACCUAUUGCAGGAAUUGGUAAAUUGCUAUUUGUUGCCAUGAAGUUUGGAUAAUGAAUGGAGAUAUGUUUAGAAAUUUGGGGUAGGACUGUAAAUAAUAUGUUUCUGUGAGCAUGGUAAUUCUGGUACAUUUUAAAAUGAUCACUGAAGCAGAAAUUACCAGGUAAAAAUGCCACAUGUAAUUUUACCUGCUGAAUUAGCUAUGACCUACUUUUUAAUAUUUGUCCACAUUAAGUAGGCUGCAAACCCUCACUAUUCAGCAGAUGACUACCUAGCAGGAGAUAAAAAAUUUUAAUUUUAAUUGAGUCAAAUAGAGGUAGUAAUUCUGCUUUAAAAUUCACACAUGAAUAGAUCAUUGACAUUUGAGCAUCACAGGAGGGCUGUAUUUCAUUGAUGAAACACAUAUUUGAAGGCUUUAUGUAGCUAAAUAUCUCCUAAUUUCCCAAUUGAUUUUAUGAAAAAAAUUGAAUGAAUUGAGUAAUAACAUAAUAUCUGAAAUUAUAUUGGAAAGUAAAUGAAAAAUAAAGAGAAAAGAAUUUAAUUCUACAUGAAUCAUUAUUUAACAUUUUUUGCUAAACUUAUAAAAAUUUAAUUCUGAUUAUAUUAGCUGUUGGUAUUAAUAUAGCCUAUAAGUCACCCAAAUCAUUCAAAGGCCCCUUUAUCUAUAAAUAAAACACUAGGAGGUAAUAAAAGUGUAUUUUAUAAAACACAAUAGUGACUUAAGUUUGCCAACACUGAAAUUUCAAAACUUAAUUUUAGUUUUUGAGAAGUAUCCAAAAAUUUAUGUAAAUUAAUAUUUUAUUAUUUCAGAUGCUCAGUGUUUAGUGUACAAACAGUUCUGUUGCAUGUGAAUUACAUUCUUUAUUAUAAAAGGAUUGACCAAGGCAAGCACAUUUUAGUAUUUACAGUUAGUUAUGUGAAUUUAGGGAGAGUAAAUUUUGUUAUUUAACCCGGUUAAAUGUUUAACUUAGUCCAAAGCAUUAAGAUCCUGUCCUAGUUACUUUUCUUGUUGCUGAGGCGAAAUAACUUACACCUACUUUUAAAGGAGGAAAUUAUUUACAGUUUGUAGAGGUUUCCACCCAUAGUUGGCUGGUUCCAAGGCAGAGUGGCACUUGAUAGAGAUAUCACAGAGGAGAACCAGUUCAUGGCAGACAGAAGACAGCAAAGAAACAAAAGUAGCAAAAAUGUAUCAAGCAAUCAAACCACAACUGUUUUCUGUCCUUAUAUUUUAUCCAGGCUCCAUGCCCUUAGGGUGGCACUCACACCCAGGGUACUCCAUGCCCUUAGGGUGGCACUCACACCCAGGGUGCUCCAUGCCCUUAGGGUGGCACUCACACCCAGGGUGUUCCAUGCCCUUAGGGUGGCACUCACACCCAGGGUGCUCCAUGCCAUUAGGGUGGCACUCACACCCAGGGUGCACCUUCCCAUUAUCCAUGCCAGACCAACCAGUGGACCUAGUAAUCACACACCCUUAAUCCCCGCAUCACACUUAAUCUAAGCAUCACAUGGUCUAGAAUUGGGCACCUCUGAAAAGCCCCACCUAUGUGGUGAAAUACCUAGACAAGGCUGUCACAGUUUUCUACAGGGUGAUCUCUGCAUUUUAAAUUGCUCUCCUUGUUAUUAAAAAAAAGUAUUUGUUCAUACAUUACAGAAGCACACUUCUAUUAUUAGCUAAUAUUUCAAGUACAACACUUUGCUGAGGCAAGGUUUGUCAUUAAUGAUGGUAGACAUAAAUCAAUGUGUUUCAUGUUUUUGAAUACCUUCUCACUUUCUUGUCAGAUUUAAUUAGAUCACUGUGUCUUCUGCUGCAUGCUCGAGAUGAAGAAGUUGUCCUAUUAGAAGUACUAGUCCAGCCAUUCUCUUGCGGUCUUUCUGUGUUUGGCUUUGGAAGAAAUUUUUAAAGCUGUAUUUACAAAGUUACUUAAGCAGACCAAUCCACGUAACCUGGGACAGUCUGUAAUAUGCAGAAGGCAAAUACGUGGUGUGUGAGGGGGGAGGACUUCCCUGCCAUCCUCCUGUGUGCAGCGGCUGCCCCGCUGUCAGGUCCCUCUACCUGUGCAUGAAGGAGGACCAAGUCACCCACUCAGUAAAGCAACCAGCACCUAACUACACAUACACUCUAGCUAUUGUAAAAACAUACUUUACUUCUUCUUCUUUUAAAACUAAACAGUGAGUGGUAGCAUGUUUUUUUUUUUUUUUAAACCCCAUGCAGACUUUGGUACAUUCCCAAAGAACAUGGCUCCAGAGACAGAAUAUGAAUGUAAAACAGUGGUAGUCAGUGUUUAAAACAGUUUUAAUUGUCAUUCCAGUGCACAGGAAGGCCUCAAUAUAUUUAUAGAGAAAGUUCGGUCAUCAAAUUUUUUUUUUUUAGUCUUUUUCGUUUUUUAUCACUACCAGGGAUCGAACUCACGACAGCCUGCUUGCAAGGCAGGCGCUUAUGCCGCUGAGCUAAAUCCCCAGCCCCAGUCAUCGAAUUUUUGAAUCAGUAAUUUUACUGCAGGAGAAAAAAGACAUGCAGAUAUUUUAUUGUGAUAGUGAUAAUGAUGAAGACCUGUGACAACCAUUUUGUCAUGUGGAUACACUGUACUGUGGAAAAUAAUUAUAACAUCUGUAAAAAUCUAGUUGAGAGCAGUUUGGGGAACCAGACAGAAUAUAUUUGAAAUACAUUUUAACUAAUUACUUCAACACAGUGUUUUCUAUGUUCAUCCCAUAAGUGCAUUGUACUCCUUAAAUAUCAAGUUUUAUUUCUGAUUCUACCUUCCAGAGCUUUUCUCCAUGAAAAGUUACUUUUUAAGUGAAUGAGAGCUCACAUGUGCCACCCUGCCAUCGAACCAGUCAACUAUGGGUGGAAACUUCUAUAAACUGUGAAUAAAGGCUUGGGAAGAUAUGAAAAAGUGAAGAGAUUUUCUUGCUUUUCUUUCCAGAUUUUGCCUCUUCUUUUAUGUGUGGAUGCAUUAUGUAAAAAGCCAUCCUUAACUCCAAGCAAGGAGGUGGCCCAUUGUUGUUUUAAGAUUUUAGAAAACUUGGAUAGUAAAAUUGCUUUGGCUUAGGCAGUUGGUAAAUCAUUUCUGCUUUCCUUUUGCCCCAUUGUAAGCAAAUUUCACAGUAUAAUGCUUAGAAAAUAGCUUUUUCUUGGGUGAAAAAUCAGAGUUUACUAGCAUUGGUGCUACCAGUGCUAGUAAACUCUACCAUAUUGGAAGGUGAUCUGGUUUUCAGUGAACCUCAAAGCAGUGAUUGUGACCUCCACUGCAGUUCUAGUUCUAACCUCGGAUUCAUUAGUAUAUUUAUAGGAUGAUAUGUUUAUUUAAGUUAAAUUUUCAAGCUAUAAAAUACAUAUCAUUAAGAAAAACUAAUAAUACCAUUGUAUUUUUACAUCAUAUUAUUUCAGGGUAAUUUUAUAAUGGCAUGUUUAGAUGUGUUCACAAAAACAUAAGAAUGCUUAAAAUACCAAUGAAGAGUGUUAAAUUUCUUAGUAGUUGUAUUUUGAAAUGAAAUCAAAGAGGAAAUAAUGGUUAAAAUAUUUCCCAUUUAAUAUCUUAGUUUUUAUAAUAGCUAACUGCUACACUUGUCCCUAGUAAUAUAACAUAUUGUAUUUAACACUUAUAAAGUUGUCUGUUUAAACAGAGGGACAGAGACAGAAAUAGAGACAUCACUCAUACACCCAAACUUCUGGAAACUCACUCAAGAAGCUUUGGGUAAGCUAUGUUGUGCUAUCUGAAAGUAAACAUUUCGAGUGAGGACACAGAGGACUUCACUGUCAGCUUUCCACACAUUAAUCACCCUCUUUCCCUCUGUGAUUCCACGGUGACUGCAGCCAUCAGCACCAUCUGAUGGCAUCCAAGUGAAUCUCCUUAGCCUUGCAGCCAGCCCUCUGCCCGAAGUGUGCCUGUGACCACUUUCCCCAGCAGUCUGCACAUUGCUUCAAGAUAUAAAUAUUUCUCUUUUGUCUCCGCAACCUCAUUGCUCCACUGUCUGUCACCCUUCACCAUCCCUUGCAUCCCCAAAGGACAUAUUGGGUUAUUGUAGGAGGUGACAGUGUGAGCUGGUGGGGACCCAGCGCCUCCUAAGAUGGCAGGAGCCUAUUCUAGGGCUUCCAUAUGUACAGUCUUUACCAUUCCUCAAAACUCAACUGUCUCACUUUUUACAGAUGAGGAAACUACUGAUGCACAGAGAAGUUCGGUAAAUUGCCCAAGGUUAGACAGUUCUAAGAGAUAAAUUCAAACCUCAGCAGUUUAAACAUAGCUACACAUGUCUUUUGAUGUUAAUGUGCUCAGAGGAGAACUUGUGAUAUGUGUCAGCGUUAAAUCUCUCCUGCUGUCCGUAAAUUCCUCCUUUAACUGAAAUCCUCUAUGGCUUAGAUUAAGCCCCUGGCACUUUCUUUGGUAGGGAAAAUCUACCGAAGGGUUCUUUAUAUACUUACAGGGAGUUUGGAAGUCAUUCACUUGACUACAGGCUCAAAAACAUAAGCGCUUUUAACCUUUCCCUUCAGAUCUUAUGUCUGACUUCUGUAAGUGGUUUUGGUAGACUACUCUGCUAGCUUUUUACCUUAUAUAAAUUUCACCCAUGAGUGUAACUGCGUGGUAGAUUCCCUUUGAAUCAGGAGCGGGGCACUCCUGGAGACCUGCAGGACAGCCGCGAUCUACAAAAUACCUUCCUAUUAUUAAUUCACUCAGUCCUCCCAACUUUGUGAAUCCUCCAAGCAAGAUAUAUAGUAUGCAGCCUACUUUUAAGGUAAAUAAAUAGGCAUUAUAAUCUGUCAUACCCUUUUGAUGUUAGUCUAUUUCUACUUAACAUUUCUUUGUACCACCCAUAUGCUAUAGUAUAAAUUUUCCCAUAUUUGUUUUGUAUUCUUCCCAAUUCUAGUUCUAGGUAACUCUACCAAACCCAGAACUCCAAAUUAUUCAGUGAUACUCAGACAUUCCCCACUCCCCUGUAAGUCACCUACGGCCUUUACAUCUUUACUGUUAUUUAACUCAAUAUCCAUAAUUGUUUGUAUUCUCACUUAAUAUGAUCUCAGUGCACUCAUGGUACUGAGUUUUCCUUUAAAUAUCCCUUAGCCAAAAUGCCCAUAAGCAGUGAGUUUAUCUUUAUCAGGGUGUCAAAAAACACAAGACCAAACUCAUUUGUACAGGGAUGGGAAUUUGAAAAAGUGAACAGAUGAAUGAGGAUGAUGAUUUUGAUGAACUGUUUUUUGAGUCUGGCUCAAAUUAACGAUGAUUCCAUUUGCUAAAUGUGCCUGCAUUUUGAUCACACAUCAGAAGAUGAAAUUUAGAACUUCUAAAAUAGAAAGUUACUCACGAUGUCACAGAUCCUCUUUUUCCCAUUCAACCACAUUUCUAAACUAAUGCUUCACAUUCCCUGGUAUUUUAGUCCUUUUCCUGAAUGAAUACAACAAAUACAUAAAUGAGGAAAAGUGAAUAUUAAAUAGAGUGACGUUAGGUAGAGCAUCCUCACUUCACCUUUCCGCUGUCACUUGGACAGACAAAUAGCAUGACGAAUGGCCGAGAAGUCACAUUGCAGCCAGUGUUUCUAGUGGGUCAGCUGGAUGAUUUAUUCCAUCAAUGUUAAAAAGACAUACUUGUUACCUUUCAUAAUCCUUUGUGGAGCUGGAAUCAUUGGUAGUGGAAAGAAAGGUUUAAAAAGUAGAGGUUGGAGUAAUAAUUAAAUCCAUAAGGUCCUCCUAUGAUUUAAUAUUUCACUAGCUCUUGCAUGUUUAAUGGACUUAAACAAAGAUCUUCCACUAAAAACACGAAGGAGACAGGUUCCACCAGAGGAUGUUAUAGCAUUGAUGGCAACAAGGUUUGGAGUUGAUGUACAUCACUGAGGACUGAAGCCUUAGUCUACGUCUGCUUGGAAAAAGCAUUUUAAAACUACAUGAAUCAGUAAAAAAUUGCUGUGUGACUUUAGAGUUUGAGAUGAGCCCCCCAUGAGAUGAGUCCCCAGUUUCUUCAUACAGGCCUGCAUCUUUUGUGAACUCCUCAGAUAUUUUUUCAAGUAAGCAACUGUUAACUACUCUUAAGUUUGACCUUGCUACUGGGCAAUUGACCCUAAAUGCUGACUUUUGUGGGAUUAAGAUUCUAAAUUAAAAUUCUAUUAAAAUAGGUUGAAAUUAUAUGACAGACUAUGAACUAGCCACUUUCAUACUUCUGACAUCGAAUUAUUUAAGUUUUCAGGCUUUUAAGGAGUUUUUGGUCAGAUUUUGUCCUAGUUCAUUUUUAACACAGUGAUACAUUUUUCCUGACUUCUUAAUGUGAUUUUAUAUUUUUUAAAAUGUUAUUUUCUCCUUAAAGUCAACUGCUUUUAUUUAUAGUUAUAUAUUUAUUGAUAAAACCAAAAUUUACACAGAAAUAGUUUAAAAAUCUCUAUGGUUCCAGACCCCCCGCAAAAAGUGUUUAACAGUAAGGUGGGCAUGGUGGUGUACUCCUGUAAUCCCAGCCCUCAGGAGGCUGAGGCAGGAGGAUGGUUGCAACUUUAAGACUAGCUCAAGGCCAGCCUAAACUGCAUAAUGAGACUCUGUCUCAAAAAGACAAAAACAAAACAAAGGAACCUAUGGUUUCUGCUAUUUAUGUGAGUCCUCUCCUUUUUUUAAAAUUUUUUUUGUCUUUUUCCUUUUUAUCGGCACCAGGGAUCGAACUCACGACUGCCUGCUUGCAAGGCAGGCGCUUAUGCCACUGAGCUAAAUCCCCAGCCCCGAGUCCUCUCCUUUGAGGUAACAGUGAAAACUAUUUUUAUCAUCAGUGCUUUGGAAUUUGCUGCUGGAGUCUGUGAGUUGUUGAACAGUUGGGGAAAAUUUGCCACCCGCCUUUCAGGGCACGAGAAUCGUCUGGCCCUUCCUCCAGCUUUGCUUCUGAUUUUGUUUUGUUUUUGUUUUUGUUUUUGCACCUGCUUUUCAAUUAGCCUUUCAAUGUGUUGUGUGAUAAUUUGUCUCCUAUCUUCAUACUAUCCAUUUGUCCUGUGAUGAACAUGAGUAGACCAUCAAAGAUGUCUUGGGGCAAACAGCUACACUAGCAAAUUGUUGUAGGAUAACAUAGAUAUAAAGUUGAAGGGCCAAGAAGAGCUACAAAAGUCUACUACACUGCCUUUCAAAGUGAGCGUUUUGCACAUGUGCCUCAGAUCUCACAGUCACUUGUCAUGUUUUAUCUCAAUCAGCCAAAUUUACUUUUCUUUCUGAAAUAAAUUGGGAUUACUCUAGAAAGUUUGUUUCAGGACUAGGGAUUAGCUUAAUGGCAUAGUGCCUGCCUGGCAAGCAUGAGGUCUUGAGUUCGAUUCCUGGUACCAAAAGGAAAAAAGGUUUAUUUGAAAAUGGGUAUGUUAAGUAACACAGCUGAAAAUUACUACAUCAAGAUCAGCCCAGUACUUGCUUAGGCCGACUCAUAGUGGACAUGUGAGUGAUGUUAGUCUGCAGUGCUUCCACUUGAAUAGUUAUGCUAAUCACGAAGGCAUUGAAGCGAAAAUUAAUAUCUGUACAGAGCCUAUUGUGAGUCCCUGAGGUGGCGGCCAAUCUAAGCCUUUUUUGCCUCCAGGAAAUGCGAUGCUCUUUGUACCAUCUGAGUCCAUGGUAGUCCAUUCUCCUUGCCUGGUAUCUGUUAAAGCCUUGUGAAUAAUAUAUCUAAGAGGUGUGAAAUGAGUCUUGCCAGAGGCUUCAGGAAGGGUCUACUCUCCCAUAAGAAGGCAGCGGUGGGAACGGAGGGCAUUGAGAAUGGAAGAGUCAACAAUGAAGAGAACAUCGGCAUUAAGGUAUCUUAGUGACACUGAAUUAACCACCUGUAAAAUUACCUCACAUGUGCAGUGUUUACCGUGUGCAAUAUUAUACUUCCUGCCUGAGAAGCCAUAUGAGGCAUUUUAAUGGUCUUAUACUGAAAUAAUCCUGAUAGACAUUGCAACAGAUAGAGAGAAAGAAUCAUAGGAUGUAAUAUGUACUUCUGUUUAUCAGACACUGUACUAAGCAGUUUCUAUGUCUCAUCUGUUAUCCAUAAGGUUAAGUGUUAUCCUUACUUCACAAGAGUAACUAAACCUCAGAAAGGUUUGGUAAAUUACCGUCGACUUCGUAAGUCUCAAAAUGAAAUUUGAAGAUAUUUUUUUCUAAUUUAGAAGUUACUCCACAGUCUAUAUAUAUAUAUAUUUUUUUUUUUUUUUUGAAUGUGUGGAGCCAUUUCAGCAGAAUACAUUUAGGCAAGGAAUGAGUGCUUAGGUUUUCUUCUGACCUCUAUUCCCCUCCCUUAGCCAGAGUGGAUCAGAUGUUUAUGUAAUAGUCUCACCAUCAUUCUGAACUUGCAGUUGCUGGAAUCUGACCCUUCUGAUGUAUGAGGAUGCUCACUAUGUUAUAGAAAUAGAAUCAUAUAUAAAAAUGUGUGACAUUUUAAAAAAAAAGUGCCCAUUGGGGUUUUAAUAAUGUAUUUUGGGAAGAGUGCUAUACUCCAAACAAUCUCUUAUUAAUUUGUAAGAUAAAACUCUGGUAUCAGUGAUGAUAAAAUAGCCAGGCAUAUGCAUUACUUACAAUAAUCAAUGCUCCUUUCAGAUCUAUGAAAUUGUUUCAAUUCUCUGCAGAUUUUAUCAGGAGAGUGAGAUAAUGGUUAAUAUUUACGGAAAUCCAAUUUGAAUAUAGUGACAUGAUAAGUAUAUAAAGCUUUAGUGGCUAUAUGAAUUUUUGUAUUCAAAGAGUUAUUUACCUUUUGUCAUUUCCACCUAGAGACAACUGAAGAAUUUCUUGGAGAAAACAAAAAUGAAUGUGUCAUCUUGACUUUACAUCACAUUUGUUCAGCCCUUGCAGUAUUUCCAGCCUAGUUCCCUGCUAAAAAAGAAACGUGAAUGCUUAUUUAUUUUUGUGAAUGCUGUGGAAGCAGUACAGUUGUUUAAAGUAGUUAAAUUAUAUUUAAUGCUUAUGGUAGGGUCCAUGAACGUCCAGUGAUUUCUCUCAGCCUUUCUCCUUAGAUUAUAAUCCUAUCCAAAGAAAAUAAUGUCAUUGUUAGUCUCUUCGACUAGUUAGAGGAAAGGAAGUCUAUGCUACAAAAAUUAUUGAUAAUGAAAUGGAGCAACAAUAGGCUAAGCAUUUUUAAAAGCUUUGAAAGCUACUAUCAUUGUUUAAUCAAUCUAGAUAAGGCAGUGAGUAGCACACAUCCUGUGAGCCUUCCUGGGAAAAGCAGGCUCUUCGUGUUAGACUGGACUUGUUGGCAGUAGCCCAGAAGGCUGUCUUCCCCUACCUGGUGAAUUCUUUAUCUCUGUCACUAUGCCAUGUACCUAGCUGCCAAUUUAGUCUGAAAUUUUGAAAAACCUUGGAAGCACAACUAACGUUAAACUGAACUUCAUUAUGAUAUUAAUAACUAAAGCAUUAGAAAGUUCAGCUUCCUGGUUUUGUACUUGUAAUGAGAAAUGAUAUUUGAUGAUUUUUAUUAAUUUUUUCCAAUCUAUAUUUUAAUAUAUUUCACUUAAUUUUAUCUAAGUGUUAUAGAAUAAGUGCCCAUCAAUGUUAAUUCUUCUGCCUUCUGUGGCUGUCACAGUGUUUGACUGUAGGCUUUGUUAAUCAUACUGUUUUAUAACCCUAUUAAUACAUGGUGCAAAAUUAAUAAAACUGUGUAAUUAAAGGAUCAUAUUGGUGAAAUUCAACCACAUUUCACCUUAUUAUUUUGAAUAUUCCUGAUACUAAUAUUUUUCAAGUGAGUUGUUUAAAUAUUAAAACAUCUUUGAUGCAUUAAUAGAAAUACGAAUAAUACAUACACUGAUACUGAAAUAUUUU